RNAcentral lists this non-coding RNA (100 nucleotides) under Actibacterium lipolyticum. RNAcentral describes it as "Confluentimicrobium lipolyticum TPP sequence". It matches the Rfam family "TPP riboswitch aptamer (THI element)". Rfam says of the family: Vitamin B(1) in its active form thiamin pyrophosphate (TPP) is an essential coenzyme that is synthesised by coupling of pyrimidine and thiazole moieties in bacteria. The previously detected thiamin-regulatory element, thi box was extended, resulting in a new, highly conserved RNA secondary structure, the THI element, which is widely distributed in eubacteria and also occurs in some archaea. The record is from Rfam by way of RNAcentral. Lineage: Bacteria; Pseudomonadati; Pseudomonadota; Alphaproteobacteria; Rhodobacterales; Roseobacteraceae.
ACCUAUCUGUUGGGGUGCCUUUCGGGGCUGAGAUGCAUAUCGCGAACCCAUUGAACCUGAACCGGUUAGGACCGGCGGAGGAAACAGAAUUUGGGUCUUU